CCUACGGGCGGCUGCAGUGGGGAAUAUUGGACAAUGGGGGGAACCCUGAUCCAGCCAUGCCGCGUGUGUGAAGAAGGCCCUCGGGUUGUAAAGCACUUUCAGUGAGGAAGAACGCCUGGUGGUUAAUACCCAUCAGGAAAGACAUCACUCACAGAAGAAGCACCGGCUAACUCCGUGCCAGCAGCCGCGGUAAUACGGAGGGUGGCGAGCGUUAAUCGGAAUUACUGGGCGUAAAGCGCGCGUAGGUGGCUUGAUAGGCCGGUUGUGAAAGCCCCGGGCUCAACCUGGGAACGGCAUCCGGAACUGUCAAGCUAGAGUGCAGGAGAGGAAGGUAGAAUUCCCGGUGUAGGGGUGAAAGGCGUAGAGAGCGGGAGGAAUACCAGUGGCGAAGGCGGCCUUCUGGACUGACACUGACACUGAGGUGCGAAAGCGUGGGUAGCAAACAGGAUUAGAUACCCGAGUAGUC
This 466-nucleotide ribosomal RNA is filed under the name Vreelandella stevensii. RNAcentral describes it as "partial 16S ribosomal RNA". It matches the Rfam family "Bacterial small subunit ribosomal RNA", at positions 338 to 795 of the family's 1533-position model. Lineage: Bacteria; Pseudomonadati; Pseudomonadota; Gammaproteobacteria; Oceanospirillales; Halomonadaceae. The record is from RNAcentral.